Molecule: ribosomal RNA, 937 nt
Filed under: uncultured marine bacterium
Lineage: Bacteria
Description: bacterial SSU rRNA
Rfam family: Bacterial small subunit ribosomal RNA
Source: RNAcentral
AGUCGAACGAAGGCCCUAGCUUGCUAGGUGUCCUUAGUGGCGCACGGGUGAGUAACACGUGGGAACAUACCUUAUAGUACGGAAUAACUGCGGGAAACUGUAGCUAAUACCGUAUAUUCCAGCAAUGGGAAAGAUUUAUCGCUAUAAGAUUGGCCCGCGCAAGAUUAGCUUGUUGGUGAGGUAAAAGCUCACCAAGGCUGCGAUCUUUAGCUGGCUUGAGAGGAUGAUCAGCCACACUGGGACUGAGACACGGCCCAGACUCCUACGGGAGGCAGCAGUAGGGAAUAUUGGACAAUGGGGGCAACCCUGAUCCAGCAAUGCAGCGUGAGUGACGAAGGCCUUAGGGUUGUAAAACUCUUUCAUCGGUGAGGAUAAUGACAGUAGCCGAAGAAGAAGGACCGGCUAAUUCCGUGCCAGCAGCCGCGGUAAUACGGAAGGUCCUAGCGUUGUUCGGAAUUACUGGGCGUAAAGCGCAUGUAGGCGGAACAGAAAGUUAGAAGUGAAAUCCCUGGGCUCAACCUAGGAAUUGCUUUUAAAACUUCUGUUCUGGAAUUCAGGAGAGGAAAAUGGAAUUUCCAGUGUAGAGGUGAAAUUCGUAGAUAUUGGAAGGAACACCAGUGGCGAAGGCGAUUUUCUGGACUGAUAUUGACGCUGAGAUGCGAAGGCAUGGGUAGCAAACGGGAUUAGAUACCCCGGUAGUCCAUGCAGUAAACGAUGGGUGCUAGUCGUCGGACUUUUGUUCGGUGUCGUAGCUAACGCGUUAAGCACCCCGCCUGGGGAGUACGGUCGCAAGAUUAAAACUCAAAUAAAUUGACGGGGACCCGCACAAGCAGUGGAGCAUGUGGUUUAAUUCGACGCAACGCGAAGAACCUUACCAGCGUUUGACAUGGAAAGUACCGGUUACAGAAUGGUAACCUUCAGUUCGGCUGGCUUUCGC